This 710-nucleotide ribosomal RNA is filed under the name Arthrobacter sp. SMCC B0633. RNAcentral's name for it is "bacterial SSU rRNA". It matches the Rfam family "Bacterial small subunit ribosomal RNA", at positions 22 to 744 of the family's 1533-position model. Lineage: Bacteria; Bacillati; Actinomycetota; Actinomycetes; Micrococcales; Micrococcaceae. The record is from RNAcentral.
GCUCAGGAUGAACGCUGGCGGCGUGCUUAACACAUGCAAGUCGGACGAUGAAGCCCUUCGGGGUGGAUUAGUGGCGAACGGGUGAGUAACACGUGAGCAACCUGCCCUUGACUCUGGGAUAAGCCUGGGAAACUGGGUCUAAUACCGGAUAGGACCCCUUGCCGCAUGGUGGGGGGUGGAAAGCCUUGUGCGGUCUUGGAUGGGCUCGCGGCCUAUCAGCUUGUUGGUGGGGUGAUGGCCUACCAAGGCGACGACGGGUAGCCGGCCUGAGAGGGUGACCGGCCACACUGGGACUGAGACACGGCCCAGACUCCUACGGGAGGCAGCAGUGGGGAAUAUUGCACAAUGGGCGGAAGCCUGAUGCAGCGACGCCGCGUGGGGGAUGACGGCCUUCGGGUUGUAAACCCCUUUCGGCAGGGAACAAGCCCCUUGGGGUGAGGGUACCUGCGGAAGAAGCGCCGGCUAACUACGUGCCAGCAGCCGCGGUAAUACGUAGGGCGCGAGCGUUAUCCGGAAUUAUUGGGCGUAAAGAGCUCGUAGGCGGUUUGUCGCGUCUGCUGUGAAAGCCCGGGGCUCAACCCCGGGUCUGCAGUGGGUACGGGCAGGCUGGAGUGCAGUAGGGGAGACUGGAAUUCCUGGUGUAGCGGUGAAAUGCGCAGAUAUCAGGAGGAACACCGAUGGCGAAGGCAGGUCUCUGGGCUGUAACUGAC